GUCCACGCCGUAAACGAUGAAUACUAGGUGUUGGGGGUCGAACCUCGGUGCCGCAGUUAACACAAUAAGUAUUCCGCCUGGGGAGUACGAUCGCAAGAUUAAAACUCAAAGGAAUUGACGGGGCCCGCACAAGCAGCGGAGCAUGUGGUUUAAUUCGAAGCAACGCGAAGAACCUUACCUAGACUUGACAUCCCCUGCAUAACCCAGAGAUGGGCGAAGUCCUUGGGACAGGGUGACAGGUGGUGCAUGGUUGUCGU
RNAcentral lists this ribosomal RNA (257 nucleotides) under uncultured bacterium. Its description in RNAcentral is "partial 16S ribosomal RNA". It matches the Rfam family "Bacterial small subunit ribosomal RNA", at positions 793 to 1055 of the family's 1533-position model. The record is from RNAcentral.